This 353-nucleotide unclassified non-coding RNA is filed under the name soil metagenome. RNAcentral's name for it is "partial contains 5.8S ribosomal RNA, internal transcribed spacer 2, and large subunit ribosomal RNA". The stretch from base 1 to 120 matches the Rfam family "5.8S ribosomal RNA", at positions 35 to 154 of the family's 154-position model. The record is from RNAcentral.
GAUGAAGAACGCAGCGAAAUGCGAUAAGUAAUGUGAAUUGCAGAAUUCAGUGAAUCAUCGAAUCUUUGAACGCACAUUGCGCCCGCCAGUAUUCUGGCGGGCAUGCCUGUUCGAGCGUCAUUACAACCCUCAGGCCCCCGGGCCUGGCGUUGGGGAUCGGCGGAAGCCCCCUGCGGGCACAACGCCGUCCCCCAAAUACAGUGGCGGUCCCGCCGCAGCUUCCAUUGCGUAGUAGCUAACACCUCGCAACUGGAGAGCGGCGCGGCCACGCCGUAAAACACCCAACUUCUGAAUGUUGACCUCGAAUCAGGUAGGAAUACCCGCUGAACUUAAGCAUAUCAAUAAGAGGAGGA